Silurus meridionalis is the source of this 1345-nucleotide long non-coding RNA. RefSeq lists it as uncharacterized. NCBI's taxonomy places the organism in Eukaryota, Metazoa, Chordata, Actinopteri, Siluriformes, Siluridae. The transcript is spliced from 4 exons. The record is from RefSeq and is a predicted model, not a curated record.
AAGAAGGUGUAAUACAAACUGAGACACGCACAAGGAAGAGGAGAACAGGAACUUAUUUUUUUUAGAGCGUUCGAGCAGCCGAGGUUCGAGGUGAUGUGGCAUCGUUUCAGGGAUGAAGCUUGAGACAUUCUCACAAGAGCGUUCGCGCAGCCGAGGUUCGAGGUGAUGUGGCAUCGUUUCAGGGAUGAAGCUUGAGACAUUCUCACAAGAGCGUUCGCGCAGCCGAGGUUCGAGGUGAUGUGGCAUCGUUUCAGGGAUGAAGCUUGAGACAUUCUCACAAGGGCAGUUUGUGUGUAGUGAUCUCACAGUAACUGAUCUAAUAACAGUUUUGAAUGUUAUUGUAGUUAUAAUGAUGUAAUUUUUUGUAAUUUCCGUUUUUUUUCCCAAUAGAUGUCGCCAGAGAUUUCCAGAGUCCCUCAUUAGUUCUCAUUGCUUUCACUUGAAUCCCAUUACCCUCUUGUGUAUUAAAGUUCCCAUUUUGGCUGAAGUUCUUGUUAAUUAAUGUUGUGUGGUCUGUUUCCUGUUGAGUUGACCAGUGUAAGUCAUUAUUUUGAGGUAAUUUUUCCUUAGUUUUUCUUCUGAAGACUUUGUUUCUGGUAUUUUUCCAGAAUUCCUGAGAAAGUUUUGAAUUCAUUGUCCUUACUUGUGGACUGAUUUUGCUCUGCCUUGGAUUUUCGGGACUUGAGUUUUCCCUGGUUCCUUCUGCCCUAAAACAUCUUUCACCCAAAUAUUUUAUUUGGGGGGGGUCAAUGCAGUGCUUAGAAUUUGUUGGGAAUAAUUCAAUGGGAUAAAUGAAAUAUUGCUUUCAGUACUGCCACUGUCUACCACGGAUGCCAGUUCUUUCAUGCUGUACGUUUCAGUCUUCCUUCCUUCCUUUCUUUCUGCUGACACUUACGAUUUCCUUACUGUGUUUUGUAAUUUUGACAUUAACUCAUGACGGUUAUGUUUACUUCCUCUUCUCUCAAUCUUUUUCCCCUGUUGCGCACACAAGCAGAAAUAUUUCACUUCCUGUACAAGUUCUCACUCAGCACAUCCGUGUUUCUGUCCUGACUCGCACAAGUUGCAAAACAAAGCACCUCUGUUUUUUGGUGUUUUUUUAGGGGGUUUCUUCUCUGCAUGAAAACAUGUUUAGCAUUUUAGCAAUUUUACAAGUUGGCAUUUGUAUCACGAUGCAUAUUUUUAAACAUAUUUGUAUCGGUAAAAAAGAUUCAGUAGAUGUGCGCUACUUUUAGUAUUUUAAGUGACCAAUAUUUUAUAAAAUACAGUAGAACCCGGUUAUGUCGAUGUCCUAGGGGGUCGCCAAAAAGCAUCGAGAUAACCGAUGAUCGAGAUAAACGAAAAUCAA